RNAcentral lists this ribosomal RNA (443 nucleotides) under uncultured Syntrophomonas sp. RNAcentral's name for it is "bacterial SSU rRNA". It matches the Rfam family "Bacterial small subunit ribosomal RNA", at positions 942 to 1382 of the family's 1533-position model. The record is from RNAcentral. Lineage: Bacteria; Bacillati; Bacillota; Clostridia; Eubacteriales; Syntrophomonadaceae.
UGGUUUAAUUCGACGCAACGCGAAGAACCUUACCAGGGCUUGACAUCCCCUGACCGCGUAUGAAAGUACGUUUUCACCCUCGGGUGACAGGGAGACAGGUGGUGCAUGGUUGUCGUCAGCUCGUGUCGUGAGAUGUUGGGUUAAGUCCCGCAACGAGCGCAACCCUUGCUAUUAGUUGCUAACAGGUAGAGCUGAGCACUCUAAUGGGACUGCCCGUGACAAGCGGGAGGAAGGUGGGGAUGACGUCAAAUCAUCAUGCCCUUUAUGAUCUGGGCUACACACGUGCUACAAUGGAUGGUACAGAGAGCAGCGAGGCCGCGAGGUGGAGCGAAUCUCAAAAAGCCAUUCUCAGUUCGGAUUGCAGUCUGCAACUCGACUGCAUGAAGUCGGAAUCGCUAGUAAUCGCGAAUCAGCACGUCGCGGUGAAUGCGUUCCCGGGCCUU